Molecule: ribosomal RNA, 406 nt
Filed under: uncultured bacterium
Lineage: Bacteria
Description: partial 16S ribosomal RNA
Rfam family: Bacterial small subunit ribosomal RNA
Source: RNAcentral
AUUGAACGCUGGCGGCAGGCCUAACACAUGCAAGUCGAACGAGUGGCGGACGGGUGAGUAAUGUCUGGGAAACUGCCUGAUGGAGGGGGAUAACUACUGGAAACGGUAGCUAAUACCGCAUACCAUCAGAUGUGCCCCGAUGGGAUUAGCUAGUUGGUGGGGUAAAGGCUCACCAAGGCGAUGAGCCCUAGCUGGUCUGAGAGGAUGACCAGCCACACUGGAACUGAGACACGGUCCAGACUCCUACGUGAGGCAGCAGUGGGUAAUAUUGCACAAUGGGCGCAAGCCUGAUGCAGCCAUGCCGCGUGUGUGAAGAAGGCCUUCGGGUUGUAAAGUACUUUCAGCGGGGAGGCGUUACCCGCAGAAGAAGCACCGGCUAACUCCGUGCCAGCCGCCGCGGUAAUUC